AUGCCCAGAAAAUAUGGUAAGCUAUGUUAACAAGCCAUAUUAGAUAUCAAGCAUUAAUAUGGAAAUAAACCAGCCCACCUGCACCCAGGUGAAAUAAACAGCUUUAUUGCUCACACAAAGCCUGUUUGGUGGUCUCUUCACAUGGACGCGCAUGAAAUUUGGUGCCGUGACUCGGAUCGGGGGACCUCCCUUGGGAGAUCAAUCCCCUGUCCUCCUGCUCUUUGCUCCGUGAGAAACAUCCACCUAUGGCCUCAGGUCCUCAGACCGACCAGCCCAAGAAACAUCUCACCAAUUUCAAAUCCGAAUCUGACUUUUGUCUUUAUGGCUAAAGAAGCAGUGCUGUAUCCCACAGUAGUACAAAGGGCAAAAGAUGAGUGCCAGGCAUUGGGCUCUCACCAUUGGCCAAGAUUCCCUGCCCCGGUGAGGCCGGAAGCAGUUCAGACACCUGACUUCUGGCAACAUGUGAGCCUGACCCAAGCAGAUCACUGGUGACCAGUAAAUAUUGAAGCUCCAAGGUUCUUCCUUUAACAUACUGAAUUAAUGAGCCCCCUAGGGGCAUCCCCUAAAAUGACUGAGAUUUAAUUUCUCUCUAGCCUGAAUAAAGACUUAGAGCAGAUUAAAUUUGAUUUAGAGGAAGAAAAAAGCAGAGUGACUUUCUUACAACUUAGUAUUCUCAACUAAAAUUCAUACCCACAACACACAAAUACAUCCACACCAACACCCACCUAUCCACCUACCCACAUGCAUGCUUUGGAGGAUUUUGGAAGAGUGCUGAAUGGCAUGUUAUAAUUUUUCAAUUCGUUUAAAUAUUUAAAAAGUGAUAGUCUUUUAUGACUGGGUGCGGUGGCUCACGCCUGUAAACCCAGCACUUUGGAAGGCUGAGGCAGGUGGAUCAUUUGAGGCCAGGAGUUUGAGACCAGCCUGAGCAACGUGGCAAAACACCAUUCUACUAAAAUUAGAAAAAUUAGCCAGAUGUGGUGGCACAGGCCUGUGAUC
This 996-nucleotide long non-coding RNA is filed under the name Homo sapiens (human). Its description in RNAcentral is "non-protein coding lnc-LOX-4:9". Lineage: Eukaryota; Metazoa; Chordata; Mammalia; Primates; Hominidae. The record is from RNAcentral.